This 594-nucleotide ribosomal RNA is filed under the name Rhodobacter sp. JA487. RNAcentral describes it as "bacterial SSU rRNA". It matches the Rfam family "Bacterial small subunit ribosomal RNA", at positions 131 to 759 of the family's 1533-position model. The record is from RNAcentral. Lineage: Bacteria; Pseudomonadati; Pseudomonadota; Alphaproteobacteria; Rhodobacterales.
CUUUGCUUCGGAAUAGCCCCGGGAAACUGGGAGUAAUACCGAAUGUGCCCUAUGGGGGAAAGAUUUAUCGGCAAAGGAUCGGCCCGCGUUGGAUUAGGUAGUUGGUGGGGUAAUGGCCUACCAAGCCGACGAUCCAUAGCUGGUUUGAGAGGAUGAUCAGCCACACUGGGACUGAGACACGGCCCAGACUCCUACGGGAGGCAGCAGUGGGGAAUCUUAGACAAUGGGCGCAAGCCUGAUCUAGCCAUGCCGCGUGAUCGAUGAAGGCCUUAGGGUUGUAAAGAUCUUUCAGGUGGGAAGAUAAUGACGGUACCACCAGAAGAAGCCCCGGCUAACUCCGUGCCAGCAGCCGCGGUAAUACGGAGGGGGCUAGCGUUAUUCGGAAUUACUGGGCGUAAAGCGCACGUAGGCGGAUCGGAAAGUCAGAGGUGAAAUCCCAGGGCUCAACCCUGGAACUGCCUUUGAAACUCCCGAUCUUGAGGUCGAGAGAGGUGAGUGGAAUUCCGAGUGUAGAGGUGAAAUUCGUAGAUAUUCGGAGGAACACCAGUGGCGAAGGCGGCUCACUGGCUCGAUACUGACGCUGAGGUGCUAUGA